GUCUACGGCCAUACCACCUUUAAUGCGCCCCCGAUCUCGUCCGAUCUCGGAAGCUAAACAUGGUCCGGCCCAGUUAGUACUUGGAUGGGAGACCAACUAGGAACACUGGGUGCUGUAGGCA
This 121-nucleotide ribosomal RNA is filed under the name Pteropus alecto (black flying fox). Lineage: Eukaryota; Metazoa; Chordata; Mammalia; Chiroptera; Pteropodidae. The record is from RNAcentral.